GGCCAGACUCCUACGGGAGGCAGCAGUGGGGGAUAUUGCACAAUGGGGGAAACCCUGAUGCAGCGACGCCGCGUGGGCGAAGAAGUAUUUCGGUAUGUAAAGCCCUAUCAGCAGGGAAGAAGAAAUGACGGUACCUGAGUAAGAAGCACCGGCUAAAUACGUGCCAGCAGCCGCGGUAAUACGUAGGGGGCAAGCGUUAUCCGGAUUUACUGGGUGUAAAGGGGGCGCAGACGGCAGCGCAAGCCAGGAGUGAAAGCCCGGGGCCCAACCCCGGGACUGCUCUUGGAACUGCGCGGCUGGAGUGCAGGAGGGGCAGGCGGAAUUCCUGGUGUAGCGGUGAAAUGCGUAGAUAUCAGGAGGAACACCGGUGGCGAAGGCGGCCUGCUGGACUGCGACUGACGUUGAGGCCCGAAAGCGUGGGGAGCAAACAGGAUUAGAUACCCCCGUAUAC
RNAcentral lists this ribosomal RNA (451 nucleotides) under uncultured bacterium. RNAcentral's name for it is "partial 16S ribosomal RNA". It matches the Rfam family "Bacterial small subunit ribosomal RNA", at positions 329 to 795 of the family's 1533-position model. The record is from RNAcentral.